This 301-nucleotide ribosomal RNA is filed under the name uncultured bacterium. Its description in RNAcentral is "partial 16S ribosomal RNA". It matches the Rfam family "Bacterial small subunit ribosomal RNA", at positions 509 to 807 of the family's 1533-position model. The record is from RNAcentral.
CAGUCGCCGCGGUAAUACAGAGGGUGCGAGCGUUAAUCGGAUUUACUGGGCGUAAAGCGUGCGUAGGCGGCUUUUUAAGUCGGAUGUGAAAUCCCUGAGCUUAACUUAGGAAUUGCAUUCGAUACUGGGAAGCUAGAGUAUGGGAGAGGAUGGUAGAAUUCCAGGUGUAGCGGUGAAAUGCGUAGAGAUCUGGAGGAAUACCGAUGGCGAAGGCAGCCAUCUGGCCUAAUACUGACGCUGAGGUACGAAAGCAUGGGGAGCAAACAGGAUUAGAGACCCCAGUAGUCCCUGUCUCUUAUAC